RNAcentral lists this ribosomal RNA (417 nucleotides) under uncultured bacterium. RNAcentral describes it as "bacterial SSU rRNA". It matches the Rfam family "Bacterial small subunit ribosomal RNA", at positions 356 to 773 of the family's 1533-position model. The record is from RNAcentral.
AAGGAAUAUUGCUCAAUGGCCGAAAGGCUGAAGCAGCAACGCCGCGUGAAGGAUGAAGGGCUUUUGCUUGUAAACUUCUGUAGUGAGGGAAAAAAUUUCCACUCUGUGGAAUAUGAUGGUACCUCAAAAGUAAGCCCCGGCUAACUACGUGCCAGCAGCCGCGGUAAUACGUAGGGGGCAAACGUUGUCCGGAUUUACUGGGUGUAAAGGGUGCUCAGGCGGUUUAGUAAGUUAGAAGUGAAAUCCUAGGGCUUAACUCUGGAACUGCUUUUAAUACUGCUAAGCUUGAAUGUGGAAGAGGAGGAUGGAAUUUCUGGUGUAGCAGUGAAAUGCGUAGAUAUCAGAAAGAACACCAGUGGCGAAGGCGGUCCUCUGGUCCACUAUUGACGCUAAAGCACGAAAGCGUGGGGAGCAAAC